GCUGCUGCGUGCGUGCGCGCGCGCCGCGGGCGGGCCAGUGAAACCGGCGGCCCUGGCACGUGACCUAGGACCGGCUCACCGGGUCGCUUGGUGGCUCCGCUGUCUGUCCGUCCGUCCGCCCGCGGGUGCCAUCAUGGCGGACGCGGCCAGUCAGGUGCUCCUGGGCUCCGGUCUCACCAUCCUGUCCCAGCCGCUCAUGUGGGAUAUGAGCCUCUUCCUCCAACAAUAGGACGAAAUAUUUUUGGGCGGCAAGUGUGUCAGCUUCCUGGUCUCUUUAGUUAUGCUCAGCACAUUGCCAGUAUCGAUGGGAGGCGCGGGUUGUUCACAGGCUUAACUCCAAGACUGUGUUCGGGAGUCCUUGGAACUGUGGUCCAUGGUAAAGUUUUACAGCAUUACCAGGAGAGUGACAAGGGUGAGGAGUUAGGACCUGGAAAUGUACAGAAAGAAGUCUCAUCUUCCUUUGACCACGUUAUCAAGGAGACAACUCGAGAGAUGAUCGCUCGUUCUGCUGCUACCCUCAUCACACAUCCCUUCCAUG
Molecule: small RNA, 538 nt
Filed under: Pan troglodytes (chimpanzee)
Lineage: Eukaryota; Metazoa; Chordata; Mammalia; Primates; Hominidae
Description: processed transcript
Source: RNAcentral